GUGCCUAACGGGCGCGGGUACACUGGACAAAGGGAUGAUUCACGUUCCGGUGGGACAGAAUGGGAUGGUGUGAGAGUUCAUCGUGUUGAUUGGAACAGCGGUGCACAGUUUAAAACUUCUGAAUUGUUUUUUUCUGGAAUUUUCCAUUUGAUAUUUUCUGACCGCAGUUGACCUCAGGAUUCAAAAAUUUCCUCUAUGGAGCGUGGGCUCUGAGACUUGGAAGAGGAGAUUCAGAUGCUGAAAUCGAACGGGGCUUUGAGUACUGAAGAACGAGAGGAAGAAAUGAGGCAAAUGGAGGUCUAUCGGAGCCAUUCUAAAUUUAUGAAAAACAAGGUCAUGAUUGGUCAGGUGAAGCAGGAGCUGUCCAGAAAGGACACAGAACUACUAGCCCUACAGACAAAGCUAGAAACACUCACCAACCAGUUCUCAGACAGCAAGCAGCACAUUGAAGUGCUGAAGGAGUCCUUGACUGCUAAGGAGCCUCGAGGGCUGCCAUCCUGCAGAACGAGGUAAAAGGAGUUGUGGGAUUUGCACGGAGCCCAUU
Long non-coding RNA from Balaenoptera ricei (Rice's whale), 544 nucleotides. RefSeq lists it as uncharacterized. NCBI's taxonomy places the organism in Eukaryota, Metazoa, Chordata, Mammalia, Artiodactyla, Balaenopteridae. The transcript is spliced from 3 exons. The record is from RefSeq and is a predicted model, not a curated record.